GCUGGGUGUGGUGAGGCACACCUGUAAUCCCUGCAAUUUGGAGGCUGAGGCAGGAGGAUCUCAAGUUUGAGGCCAGCCUCAGCAACUAGCGAGGCCCUAAACAGCUCCACAAGACCCUGUCUCAA
Molecule: small RNA, 125 nt
Filed under: Marmota monax (woodchuck)
Lineage: Eukaryota; Metazoa; Chordata; Mammalia; Rodentia; Sciuridae
Source: RNAcentral